This 2547-nucleotide ribosomal RNA is filed under the name Escherichia coli. RNAcentral describes it as "partial 23S ribosomal RNA". It matches the Rfam family "Bacterial large subunit ribosomal RNA", at positions 232 to 2802 of the family's 2925-position model. The record is from RNAcentral. Lineage: Bacteria; Pseudomonadati; Pseudomonadota; Gammaproteobacteria; Enterobacterales; Enterobacteriaceae.
AGAUUCCCCCAGUAGCGGCGAGCGAACGGGGAGGAGCCCAGAGCCUGAAUCAGUGUGUGUGUUAGUGGAAGCGUCUGGAAAGGCGCGCGAUACAGGGUGACAGCCCCGUACACAAAAAUGCACAUAUUGUGAGCUCGAUGAGUAGGGCGGGACACGUGGUAUCCUGUCUGAAUAUGGGGGGACCAUCCUCCAAGGCUAAAUACUCCUGACUGACCGAUAGUGAACCAGUACCGUGAGGGAAAGGCGAAAAGAACCCCGGCGAGGGGAGUGAAAAAGAACCUGAAACCGUGUACGUACAAGCAGUGGGAGCCUCUUAAUGGGGUGACUGCGUACCUUUUGUAUAAUGGGUCAGCGACUUAUAUUCUGUAGCAAGGUUAACCGAAUAGGGGAGCCGAAGGGAAACCGAGUCUUAACUGGGCGUUAAGUUGCAGGGUAUAGACCCGAAACCCGGUGAUCUAGCCAUGGGCAGGUUGAAGGUUGGGUAACACUAACUGGAGGACCGAACCGACUAAUGUUGAAAAAUUAGCGGAUGACUUGUGGCUGGGGGUGAAAGGCCAAUCAAACCGGGAGAUAGCUGGUUCUCCCCGAAAGCUAUUUAGGUAGCGCCUCGUGAAUUCAUCUCCGGGGGUAGAGCACUGUUUCGGCAAGGGGGUCAUCCCGACUUACCAACCCGAUGCAAACUGCGAAUACCGGAGAAUGUUAUCACGGGAGACACACGGCGGGUGCUAACGUCCGUCGUGAAGAGGGAAACAACCCAGACCGCCAGCUAAGGUCCCAAAGUCAUGGUUAAGUGGGAAACGAUGUGGGAAGGCCCAGACAGCCAGGAUGUUGGCUUAGAAGCAGCCAUCAUUUAAAGAAAGCGUAAUAGCUCACUGGUCGAGUCGGCCUGCGCGGAAGAUGUAACGGGGCUAAACCAUGCACCGAAGCUGCGGCAGCGACGCUUAUGCGUUGUUGGGUAGGGGAGCGUUCUGUAAGCCUGCGAAGGUGUGCUGUGAGGCAUGCUGGAGGUAUCAGAAGUGCGAAUGCUGACAUAAGUAACGAUAAAGCGGGUGAAAAGCCCGCUCGCCGGAAGACCAAGGGUUCCUGUCCAACGUUAAUCGGGGCAGGGUGAGUCGACCCCUAAGGCGAGGCCGAAAGGCGUAGUCGAUGGGAAACAGGUUAAUAUUCCUGUACUUGGUGUUACUGCGAAGGGGGGACGGAGAAGGCUAUGUUGGCCGGGCGACGGUUGUCCCGGUUUAAGCGUGUAGGCUGGUUUUCCAGGCAAAUCCGGAAAACCAAGGCUGAGGCGUGAUGACGAGGCACUACGGUGCUGAAGUGACAAAUGCCCUGCUUCCAGGAAAAGCCUCUAAGCAUCAGGUAACAUCAAAUCGUACCCCAAACCGACACAGGUGGUCAGGUAGAGAAUACCAAGGCGCUUGAGAGAACUCGGGUGAAGGAACUAGGCAAAAUGGUGCCGUAACUUCGGGAGAAGGCACGCUGAUAUGUAGGUGAAGCGACUUGCUCGUGGAGCUGAAAUCAGUCGAAGAUACCAGCUGGCUGCAACUGUUUAUUAAAAACACAGCACUGUGCAAACACGAAAGUGGACGUAUACGGUGUGACGCCUGCCCGGUGCCGGAAGGUUAAUUGAUGGGGUUAGCGGUAACGCGAAGCUCUUGAUCGAAGCCCCGGUAAACGGCGGCCGUAACUAUAACGGUCCUAAGGUAGCGAAAUUCCUUGUCGGGUAAGUUCCGACCUGCACGAAUGGCGUAAUGAUGGCCAGGCUGUCUCCACCCGAGACUCAGUGAAAUUGAACUCGCUGUGAAGAUGCAGUGUACCCGCGGCAAGACGGAAAGACCCCGUGAACCUUUACUAUAGCUUGACACUGAACAUUGAGCCUUGAUGUGUAGGAUAGGUGGGAGGCUUUGAAGUGUGGACGCCAGUCUGCAUGGAGCCGACCUUGAAAUACCACCCUUUAAUGUUUGAUGUUCUAACGUUGGCCCGUAAUCCGGGUUGCGGACAGUGUCUGGUGGGUAGUUUGACUGGGGCGGUCUCCUCCUAAAGAGUAACGGAGGAGCACGAAGGUUGGCUAAUCCUGGUCGGACAUCAGGAGGUUAGUGCAAUGGCAUAAGCCAGCUUGACUGCGAGCGUGACGGCGCGAGCAGGUGCGAAAGCAGGUCAUAGUGAUCCGGUGGUUCUGAAUGGAAGGGCCAUCGCUCAACGGAUAAAAGGUACUCCGGGGAUAACAGGCUGAUACCGCCCAAGAGUUCAUAUCGACGGCGGUGUUUGGCACCUCGAUGUCGGCUCAUCACAUCCUGGGGCUGAAGUAGGUCCCAAGGGUAUGGCUGUUCGCCAUUUAAAGUGGUACGCGAGCUGGGUUUAGAACGUCGUGAGACAGUUCGGUCCCUAUCUGCCGUGGGCGCUGGAGAACUGAGGGGGGCUGCUCCUAGUACGAGAGGACCGGAGUGGACGCAUCACUGGUGUUCGGGUUGUCAUGCCAAUGGCACUGCCCGGUAGCUAAAUGCGGAAGAGAUAAGUGCUGAAAGCAUCUAAGCACGAAACUUGCCCCGA